Molecule: ribosomal RNA, 468 nt
Filed under: uncultured bacterium
Lineage: Bacteria
Description: partial 16S ribosomal RNA
Rfam family: Bacterial small subunit ribosomal RNA
Source: RNAcentral
GACGAACGCUAGCGGUGUGCUUAACACAUGCAAGUCGAACGGAAAGGCCCUGCUUUUGUGGGGUGCUCGAGUGGCGAACGGGUGAGUAACACGUGGGUAACCUGCCCUUGACUUUGGGAUAACUUCAGGAAACUGGGGCUAAUACCGGAUAGGAGCUCCUGCUGCAUGGUGGGGGUUGGAAAGUUUCGGCGGUUGGGGAUGGACUCGCGGCUUAUCAGCUUGUUGGUGGGGUAGUGGCUUACCGAGGCUUUGACGGGUAGCCGGCCUGAGAGGGUGACCGGCCACAUUGGGACUGAGAUACGGCCCAGACUCCUACGGGAGGCAGCAGUGGGGAAUAUUGCACAAUGGGCGGAAGCCUGAUGCAGCAACGCCGCGUGCGGGAUGACGGCCUUCGGGUUGUAAACCGCUUUCGCCUGUGACGAAGCGUGAGUGACGGUAAUGGGUAAAGAAGCACCGGCUAACUACGUG